UGGGGCUCGUUAGCCGUGGUAGGCAAUCUGCCUAGGAGAGCAAACUCCGAACAACAAACCCGGGCAGGUGAGGUUCGUUAGCCGUGGUAGGCAAUUCACCUAGGAGAGCAAACUCCGAACAACAAACCCGGGCAGGUUGGGCUCGUGAGCCGUCAUAGGUAAUACACCUAGGAGAGCAAACUCCGAACAAUAAACCCGGGCAGGUGGAGGUCGUUAGCGAAAGCAGUUCAUCUAGGAGAGCAAACUCCGAUUACAAAACCGGGCAGGUGGAGGUCGUUAGCGUGAGCAGUUCACCUAGGAGAGCAAACUCCGAUUACAAACCCGGGCAGGUGGAGGUCGUUAGCGAAAGCAAUUCAUCUAGGAGAGCAAACUCCGAUUACAAACCCGGGCAGGUGGAGGUCGUUAGCGAAAGCAGUUCACCUAGGAGAGCAAACUCCGAUUACAAACCCGGGCAGGUGAGGUUCGUUAGCCGUGGUAGGCAAUUCACCUAGGAGAGCAAACUCCGAACAAUAAACCCGGGCAGGUUGGGCUCGUGAGCCGUCAUAGGUAAUACACCUAGGAGAGCAAACUCCGAACAAUAAACCCGGGCAGGUUGGGCUCGUGAGCCGUCAUAGGUAAUACACCUAGGAGAGCAAACUCCGAUCAUAAAACCCGGGCAGGUUGGGCUCGUGAGCCGUCAUAGGUAAUACACCUAGGAGAGCAAACUCCGAUCAUAAAACCCGGGCAGGUUGGGCUCGUGAGCCGUCAUAGGUAAUACACCUAGGAGAGCAAACUCCGAACAAUAAACCCGGGCAGGUUGGGCUCGUGAGCCGUCAUAGGUAAUACACCUAGGAGAGCAAACUCCGAUCAUAAAACCCGGGCAGGUGGAGCUCGUCAGCCGUGGUGGGCAAUCUGCCUAGGAGAGCAAACUCCGAACAAUAAAACCGGGCAGGUGGAGCUCGUCAGCCGUGGUGGGCAAUCUGCCUAGGAGAGCAAACUCCGAACAAUAAAACCGGGCAGGUGGAGCUCGUCAGCCGUGGCAGGCAGUCUGCCUAGGAGAGCAAACUCCGAACAAUAAACCGGGGCUUGUGGUGCUCGUUAGAUGUCGUAGACAAUCCACGUGAUGGGAACACCAAAGAAAAGGAAAAUAAAAAGGAACACCAGAAAAAGGAAAAUAUAGUAACAAAACAUCAGGAAAAUAAAAUAAAAAAACACAGAUCAUCCACCUUCAGGCCCUAACAUCUCCAAAAUUAUGGGUGAGUCUUUUCUGGGGAGAAAGAGGCUCAUCCAGACCAAAGAACAUCAAAAAGG
This is a long non-coding RNA of Eriocheir sinensis (Chinese mitten crab), 1290 nucleotides long. RefSeq lists it as uncharacterized. The transcript is spliced from 3 exons. The record is from RefSeq and is a predicted model, not a curated record. Lineage: Eukaryota; Metazoa; Arthropoda; Malacostraca; Decapoda; Varunidae.